This 4271-nucleotide long non-coding RNA is filed under the name Citrus x clementina. Its description in RNAcentral is "Citrus clementina (C. clementina) long non-coding RNA (CCLE_LNC000687)". The record is from RNAcentral. Lineage: Eukaryota; Viridiplantae; Streptophyta; Magnoliopsida; Sapindales; Rutaceae.
GGGCGAAGUUCGUCCGCGGGACUCGGAAUGGCACCAGACUUGGCGGGCGGCCUCCGUGUGCCAAAAAUAGGCCACGGGCACAGCCUCGCCCAAAAAUCAGCCCCCGAAGGUCGGGGUCCCAAGACCCCCCAGCGGAAAAAUGGCCAAAAAACGGGUGGGCUAUAGCCUUGGUGGGGGGCGUGGGCGAAGUUCAUCCGCGGGACUCGGAAUGGCACCAAACUUGGCGGGCGGAAUCCGUGUUGCAAAAAUAAGCCACGGGCACAGCCCCGCCCAAAAAACAGCCUCCGAAGUUCGGGGUCCCAAGACCCCCCAGCGGAAAAAUGGCCAAAAAACGGGUGGGCUAUAGCCUUGGUGGGGGGCGUGGGCGAAGUUCGUCCGCGGGACUCGGAAUGGCACCAGACUUGGCGGGCGGCCUCCGUGUGCCAAAAAUAGGCCACGGGCACAGCCGCGCACAAAAACCAGCCCCCGAAGGUCGGGGUCCCAAGACCCCCCAGCGGAAAAAUGGCCAAAAAACGGGUGGGCUAUAGCCUUGGUGGGGGGCGUGGGCGAAGUUCGUCCGCGGGACUCGGAAAGGUACCAGACUUGGCGGGCUGCCUCCGUGUGCCAAAAAUAGGCCACGGGCACAGCCGCCCCCAAAAAUCAGCCCCCGAAGGUCGGGGUCCCAAGACCCCCCAGCGGAAAAAUGGCCAAAAAACGGGUGGGCUAUAGCCUUGGUGGGGGGCGUGGGCGAAGUUCGUCCGCGGGACACGGAAUGGCACCAGACUUGGCAGGCGGCCUCCGUGUUCCAAAAAUAGGCCACGGGCACAGCCGCGCCCAAAAACCAGCCCCCGAAGGUCGGGGUCCCAAGACCCCCCAGCGGAAAAAUGGCCAAAAAACGGGUGGGCUAUAGCCUUGGUGGGGGGCGUGGGCGAAGUUCAUCCGCGGGACUCGGAAUGGCACCAGACUUGGCGGGCGGCCUCCGUGUUGCAAAAAUAGGCCACGGGCACAGCCGCGCCCAAAAAACAGCCCCCGAAGUUCGGGGUCCCAAGACCCCCCAGCGGAAAAAUGGCCAAAAAACGGGUGGGCUAUAGCCUUGGUGGGGGGCGUGGGCGAAGUUCGUCCGCGGGACUCGGAAUGGCACCAGACUUGGCGGGCGGCCUCCGUGUGCCAAAAAUAGGCCACGGGCACAGCCGCACCCAAAACACAGCCCCCGAAGGUCGGGGUCCCAAGACCCCCCAGCGGAAAAAUGGCCAAAAAACGGGUGGGCUAUAGCCUUGGUGGGGGGCGUGGGCGAAGUUCGUCCACGGGACUCGGAAUGGCACCAGACUUGGCGGUAGGCCUCCGUGUGCCAAAAAUAGGCCACAGGCACAGCCGCGCCCAAAAAACAGCCCCCGAAGUUCGGGGUCCCAAGACCCCCUUGCGGAAAAAUGGCCAAAAAACGGGAGGGCUAUAGCCUUUGUGGGGGGCGUGGGCGAAGUUCGUCCGCGGGACUCGGAAUGGCACCGGACUUGGCGGUAGGCCUCCGUGUGCCAAAAAUAGGCCACGGGCACAGCCGCGCCCAAAAAACAGCCCCCGAAGUUCGGGGUCCCAAGACCCCCCAGCGGAAAAAUGGCCAAAAAACGGGUGGGCUAUAGCCUUGGUGGGGGGCGUGGGCGAAGUUCGUCCGCGGGACUCGGAAUGGCACCAGACUUGGCGGGCUGCCUCCGUGUGCCAAAAAUAGGCCACGGGCACAGCCGCGCCCAAAAAUCAGCCCCCGAAGGUCGGGGUCCCAAGACCCCCCAGCGGAAAAAUGGCCAAAAAACGGGUGGGCUAUAGCCUUGGUGGGGGGCGUGGGCGAAGUUCGUCCGCGGGACACGGAAUGGCACCAGACUUGGCAGGCGGCCUCCGUGUGCCAAAAAUAGGCCACGGGCACAGCCGCGCCCAAAAACUAGCCCCCGAAGGUCGGGGCCCCAAGACCCCCCAGCGGAAAAAUUGCCAAAAAACGGGUGGGCUAUAGCCUUGGUGGGGGGCGUGGGCGAAGUUCGUCCGCGGGACUCGGAAUGGCACCAGACUUGGCGGGCGGCCUCCGUGUGCCAAAAAUUGGCGACGGGCACAGCCGCGCCCAAAAACUAGCCCCCGAAGGUCGGGGUCCCAAGACCCCCCAGCGGAAAAAUUGCCAAAAAACGGGUGGGCUAUAGCCUUGGUGGGGGGCGUGGGCGAAGUUCGUCCGCGGGACUCGGAAUGGCACCAGACUUGGCGGGCGGCCUCCGUGUGCCAAAAAUUGGCGACGGGCACAGCCGCGCCCAAAAACCAGCCCCCGAAGGUCGGGGUCCCAAGACCCCCCAGCGGAAAAAUGGCCAAAAAACGGGUGGGCUAUAGCCUUGGUGGGGGGCGUGGGCGAAGUUCGUCCGCGGGACUCGGAAUGGUACCAGACUUGGCGGUAGGCCUCCGUGUGCCAAAAAUAGGCCACGGGCACAGCCGCGCCCAAAAAACAGCCCCCGAAGUUCGGGGUCCCAAGACCCCCCAGCGGAAAAAUGGCCAAAAAACGGGUGGGCUAUAGCCUUGGUGGGGGGCGUGGGCGAAGUUCGUCCGCGGGACUCGGAAUGGCACCAGACUUGGCGGGCUGCCUCCGUGUGCCAAAAAAUAGGCCACGGGGCACAGCCGCGCCCAAAAACCAGCCCCCCGAAGGUCGGGGUCCCAAGACCCCCCAGCGGAAAAAUGGCCAAAAAACGGGUGGGCUAUAGCCUUGGUGGGGGGCGUGGGGGAAGUUCGUCCGCGGGACUCGGAAUGGCACCAGACUUUGCGGGCGGCCUCCGUGUGCCAAAAAUAGGCCACGGGCACAGCCGCGCCCAAAAACCAGCCCCCGAAGGUCGGGGUCCCAAGACCCCCCAGCGGAAAAAUGGCCAAAAAACGGGUGGGCUAUAGCCUUGGUGGGGGGCGUGGGCGAAGUUCGUCCGCGGGACUCGGAAUGGCACCAGACUUGGCGGGCAGCCUCCGUGUGCCAAAAAUAGGCCACGGGCACAGCCGGGCCCAAAAACCAGCCCCCGAAGGUCGGGGUCCCAAGACCCCCCAGCGGAAAAAUGGCCAAAAAACGGGUGGGCUAUAGCCUUGGUGGGGGGCGUGGGCGAAGUUCGUCCGUGGGACUCGGAAUGGCACCAGACUUGGAGGGCGACCUCCGUGUUCCAAAAAUAGGCCACGGGCACAGCCGCGCCCAAAAAAUAGCCCCCGAAGUUCGGGGUCCCAAGACCCCCCAGCGGAAAAAUGGCCAAAAAACGGGUGGGCUAUAGCCUUGGUGGGGGGCGUGGGCGAAGUUCGUCCGCGGGACUCGGAAUGGCACCGGACUUGGCGGUAGGCCUCCGUGUGCCAAAAAUAGGCCACGGGCACAGCCGCGCCCAAAAAACAGCCCCCGAAGUUCGGGGUCCCAAGACCCCCCAGCGGAAAAAUGGCCAAAAAACGGGUGGGCUAUAGCCUUGGUGGGGGGCGCUGGGGGAAGUUCGUCCGCGGGACUCGGAAUGGCACCAGACUUUGCGGGCGGCCUCCGUGUGCCAAAAAUAGGCCACGGGCACAGCCGCGCCCAAAAACCAGCCCCCGAAGGUCGGGGUCCCAAGACCCCCCAGCGGAAAAAUGGCCAAAAAACGGGUGGGCUAUAGCCUUGGUGGGGGGCGUGGGCGAAGUUCGUCCGCGGGACUCGGAAUGGCACCAGACUUGGCGGGCAGCCUCCGUGUGCCAAAAAUAGGCCACGGGCACAGCCGGGCCCAAAAACCAGCCCCCGAAGGUCGGGGUCCCAAGACCCCCCAGCGGAAAAAUGGCCAAAAAACGGGUGGGCUAUAGCCUUGGUGGGGGGCGUGGGCGAAGUUCGUCCGUGGGACUCGGAAUGGCACCAGACUUGGAGGGCGACCUCCGUGUUCCAAAAAUAGGCCACGGGCACAGCCGCGCCCAAAAAAUAGCCCCCGAAGUUCGGGGUCCCAAGACCCCCCAGCGGAAAAAUGGCCAAAAAACGGGUGGGCUAUAGCCUUGGUGGGGGGCGUGGGCGAAGUUCGUCCGUGGGACUCGGAAUGGUACCAGACUUGGCGGGCUGCCUCCGUGUGCCAAAAAUAGGACACGGGCACAGCCGCGCCCAGAAAUCAUCCCCCGAAGGUCGGGGUCCCAAGACCCCCCAGCGGAAAAAUGGCCAAAAAACGGGUGGGCUAUAGCCUUGGUGGGGGGCGUGGGCGAAGUUCGUCCGCGGGAGUCGGAAUGGCACCAGACUUGGCGGGCGGCCUCCGUGUGCCAAAAAUAGGCCACGGGCACAGCCGCGCCCAAAAACCAGCCCC